GGCAGACGAGGUAGGAACACGUAGGUACGUACCCCAAAGUCAGGGAUAAUCCGCCGAAAGGCGGGAUAAUACUUGAUAGUCCCUUCGGAGUAAAGAUUUAUCGCUUUGGGAACGGCCUGCGGGCUAUCAGCUUGUUGGUAAGGUAACGGCUUACCAAGGCUACGACGGCUAGGGGAGGUGAGAGCCUGACCCCCACCGAUGGAACUGCGACACGGUCCAUACUCCUACGGGAGGCUGCAGUCGAGAAUCUUCCGCAAUGGGCGAAAGCCUGACGGAGCGACGCCGCGUGGUGGAUGAAGUCCUUAGGGACGUAAACACCUUUUAUGAGGGAGAAAGUAUAUUGAUGUUACCUCAUGAAUAAGGGGCUCCCAACUCUGUGCCAGCAGGAGCGGUAAUACAGAGGCCCCAAGCAUUAUCCGGAUUUACUGGGCGUAAAGGGUGCGUAGGCGGUUAUAUUAGUCGGGUGUUAAAUCCUGGGGCUCAACCUCAGGUUCGCAUUCGAAACGGUAUGACUAGAAGGUGUGAGAGGUAAGCAGAACUCAUGGUGUAGGGGUGAAAUCCGUUGAUAUCAUGGGGAAUACCAAAUGCGAAGGCAGCUUACUGGCACAUUCUUGACGCUGAGGCACGAAAGCGUGGGUAGCGAAGCGGAUUAGAUACCCGCGUAGUCCACGCCCUAACGCUGUCUGUUGGCUAUAGGGAGUAUCGACCCUCUCUGUGGCGAAGCUAACGCGUUAAACAGACCGCCUGGGUAGUACGAUCGCAAGGUUAAAACUCAAAGGAAUUGACGGGGACCCGCACAAGCGGUGGAUGAUGUGGAUUAAUUCGAUGCAACGCGAAAACCUUACCUACCCUUGACAUGUUCAGAAGCCUGAGAGAUUUGGGUGUGCCCGAAAGGGAACUGGAACACAGGUGCUGCAUGGCUGUCGUCAGCUCGUGUCGUGAGAGGUUUGGGUUAAGUCCCGCACGAGCGCACCCUUGUCGUAUGCAUCAUUUAGUGGGCACUUUACGAGACUGCGUGACACCGGAAGAGA
This 1031-nucleotide ribosomal RNA is filed under the name uncultured bacterium. RNAcentral describes it as "bacterial SSU rRNA". It matches the Rfam family "Bacterial small subunit ribosomal RNA", at positions 97 to 1172 of the family's 1533-position model. The record is from RNAcentral.